RNAcentral lists this ribosomal RNA (484 nucleotides) under uncultured bacterium. RNAcentral describes it as "partial 16S ribosomal RNA". It matches the Rfam family "Bacterial small subunit ribosomal RNA", at positions 30 to 507 of the family's 1533-position model. The record is from RNAcentral.
AUUGAACGCUGGCGGCAGGCCUAACACAUGCAAGUCGAGCGGAUGAAGGGAGCUUGCUCCUGGAUUCAGCGGCGGACGGGUGAGUAAUGCCUAGGAAUCUGCCUGGUAGUGGGGGAUAACGUCCGGAAACGGGCGCUAAUACCGCAUACGUCCUGAGGGAGAAAGUGGGGGAUCUUCGGACCUCACGCUAUCAGAUGAGCCUAGGUCGGAUUAGCUAGUUGGUGGGGUAAAGGCCUACCAAGGCGACGAUCAGUAACUGGUCUGAGAGGAUGAUCAGUCACACUGGAACUGGGACACGGUCCAGACUCCUACGGGAGGCAGCAGUGGGGAAUAUUGGACAAUGGGCGAAAGCCUGAUCCAGCCAUGCCGCGUGUGUGAAGAAGGUCUUCGGAUUGUAAAGCACUUUAAGUUGGGAGGAAGGGCAGUAAGUUAAUACCUUGCUGUUUUGACGUUACCAACAGAAUAAGCACCGGCUAACUUCGUG